Non-coding RNA from Lolium perenne, 2694 nucleotides. NCBI's taxonomy places the organism in Eukaryota, Viridiplantae, Streptophyta, Magnoliopsida, Poales, Poaceae. The record is from RefSeq and is a predicted model, not a curated record.
UCCAUCUGGGUCGUUCGUCUGCCGCUGCACAGUCUUUCUGAUUCACCUUGUCCGUUCGAUCAGUUAAUAUUUUUCUCACUCGCGCCUUCUUUGGAUGGGUCACUGAUGACUGGACCCGAGCGCGUGUGCGGCCACCCGCGAGAGGCAGCGUGGGUGCUUGUUUGCGUACCUUUCAUCGUCGUCAUUUUCCUACGCGCGUGAGGUGAAAACCUAGAUCGAGAAAUGGCGUCCCCCACCUCCGCUCCCAUCCCCCAAUCAUUCACCUCCUUCCUCCUCCCCCAACCCGCGCCGCCUCCUCUCCUCCUCCCAAGCAGGACGCAGCCGACGUGAGCAAGGAGGGAACUCGGGCGCCGCCGGAGAGCGGCCGCGGGGUGCUGCUGCGUGGAGCGCCAGUCACCGCCUCUCCUCCAUGCCAAGCAGGAUGCAACCGCAUCGGGCGGGAGGCGAUGGUCACCGCCGGUCGCGGGCGUCGCCGUGCGAUGAGGAGGUGGGCGGCUCCUCCACACCAACGAAAGGGGGAAACCGAGCGGUGGCGGCGGCUGGCGGCGCUCGCCCUCGAUUUCGUCCGAGCGUCCAGCGACGGCGGAAGGGAGCAAAAGAGGCGCGCUGGCAGAAGGCAGUAAUCGAGCGGCGGCGGCGGCUAGACCGCGCGCGCCCUCGAUUUCUUCCUCGGCACUCCUGGAGUGGAGAUGCUCUCUUCCAUAGUCGGUCGCCUCGCUGAGCCUAGCUGCACACCCUCGGUCGACUCCCGGUGUCGCGCGCUUGUCCGCCGCGCCCCAAGCCUGCUCAAGCCUCCAGCCUUGAUGUUGAUGAAGUUAAAAAGAUAAUUUAUAUUGAUGUGAGAGUUCUCAGACGAGGAGGAAAAAACAGUUCCCUAUUGCUGCUCUGUUGAUGUUUUUCAGAAGGUUGGUCUUGUUCUUGGACCUGAUUUUGUAUGCUGCUUGGUGCUUCCAGUUGGAGAGGAUGCAGUUAUAAAUGGAUAAAAAUAGGGCACAUGGCUUUUAUCCAGCAUUCAACAACCUCCAGUCCUAUAAAAAAGGCAACGAUUGGAUGGGCUUUGAGAACAGAGGCGAGGCUAGAUGGAGCUUUGAGGGCCUCCAGUUUGAUUAUGGCUUGCCAUAUCUAUUUCUCUACAGCAAGUACCACUUAUAUGUAAUUUUUUUAUCGUUGCGCAUAUCGGUGCUUUCCUUUUCUCUAUUUCCAAUAAUUAAGGUAUUGGCAGCAGCUGCUAUUUUUUUUGGUAUGCAUUGAACCUUAGGGGGGAAAGUCUAACGAGUGUGUUCUGGUUAGUAGUUUCAAGCUUGCAACUGUACUUUUUAUUCCGAAUUUUGUGAGAUUGAUUGCCUGCCAAAUCUUAUUACGACAUUCAGUUUGUCCAUAAAGAUUUCAUUACAACAUCCAUCAACCAUUCUAAAACCAUGAGGGAGGAUGCACCAUUUCUCCUUAUUUUGAUAUGUUGACACUUUUCAAUCACCUUGAUGCUUCAGUAGUAAUCUGACAAUGUCUUCGGUAGCACCGUAGCGGUCUGCACUUUCUUGACAGAAUUGAUUUUUAUUAACGGGGCCAGUUGAUGAUGGCAUCGUGCCACUUGAACAUUGUUAAAUCCUUACAACAAAUAAUAAUUCUCCUACUGAUUUCCUGAUUGUACUUCUUUCCUACGAAUUCUAGAAGAUUGUUGCGAAUUGGUUGUGAAAGCUAAACUGCUAGGUCAUCGACUCAUCCUAUAUUUGAACUACUGAAACUGAAUUUCCCUCAUUGGUUUAUAUUGAUUUUUUUAGUAAAUAGGAGCAAAUUCUAUAACUUGAAUGCAAAUAUCAAUGUUCAGCCAAUAAUCUAGAGUUUGAUGUAUCAUUUAAUUUUCAAAGUUAACUUUUGACUUAUAUAGCAGAGAUUGGGAUGACGACGAUGAUCAACCCAACUCUGAUUUAGUUUAGCCCUUAAAUCUGCUUGGAAAGAAUAUAUAUGUGCUCCCUUUUAUUAGUCAUUAAUUAUAUGGAGUUGUUAGCUAUUGGUGCUCCCAAUAUAUUAAGAGAGGAGCAAUAUUAGUGCCCCUUGUGAAAUGAGUAGAUUUGUAUUCAUGUUUACCUUUGCCAGCUUCCAGCUUCAGUAUAUUUGUUCCUACAGCCAAGUAAGAUGAUUUGUUUAUCCCUUAAAUAGUUUUGUAGAGAAUAUAUGUGUCAACUAUUAGUGCUGCUAAUUAAGUAAAUUUGUAUUUAUGCUUACCUUCGGCAGAUUCAGUAUAUUUGUUUCUGCAGCCAAGGAAGAUGGUUUGUUUUAGGAUGUUUUACCAUUCUUCUCGCUUAGUAGUUUACUGUGGUUCUCUGUACUAUUAAGAGCAUUGUAGUGACGUGCUUAUGAUAUGAUAAGAUUAGUAUUUAUGUUUAUCUUUGGCAGAUCCAAUAUUUAUGUUGAUUUUUUCAUGUUUUGCGGACAUGAGAGCUUCUUGGCCAGAGUAUUCAGUCUGGAGCGCAUGUUGCGUCAGGAUUUGAGCUGGGUUCGUGUGCAGCUAUAAGACUAAAGUAGAACCAAUAUUUUAUCCGUGCUACUCUCGCUGACAUUAGCUUGGUGGUUUUCUAUGUCCCACUUGGUGUUAGCUUUCUUAAUGCCCUAAUGUUUCCAUAGAUGAAAGCUAGGACUAAAAUUGACGCAUGUCCUAUGUUACUGCCCUGUGCUAUUGCUUCUAGGAGAUUUGUA